This 436-nucleotide ribosomal RNA is filed under the name uncultured bacterium. RNAcentral describes it as "partial 16S ribosomal RNA". It matches the Rfam family "Bacterial small subunit ribosomal RNA", at positions 29 to 507 of the family's 1533-position model. The record is from RNAcentral.
AGCGAACGCUGGCGGCAGGCUUAACACAUGCAAGUCGAGCGGGCAUCCUUGUGGUGUCAGCGGCAGACGGGUGAGUAACGCGUGGGAACGUGCCCUUCUGUUCGUAAUAACUCGGGGGAACUUGAGCUAAUACCGGAUACGCCCUUUUGGGGAAAGGUUUACUGCCGAAGGAUCGGCCCGCGUCUGAUUAGCUAGUUGGUGAGGUUAUGGCUCACCAAGGCGACGAUCAGUAGCUGGUCUGAGAGGAUGAUCAGCCACACUGGGACUGAGACACGGCCCAGACUCCUACGGGAGGCAGCAGUGGGGAAUAUUGGACAAUGGGGGCAAGCCUGAUCCAGCCAUGCCGCGUGAGUGAUGACGGCCUUAGGGUUGUAAAGCUCUUUUCUCCGGGACGAUAAUGACGGUACCGGAGGAAUAAGCCCCGGCUAACUUCGUG